UACGUAGGGGGCAAGCGUUGUCCGGAAUCAUUGGGCGUAAAGCGCGUGUAGGCGGCCUGACAGGUCUGCUAUGAAAACUCGAGGCUCAACCUCGAGAUGUCGGCGGAAACCGUCUGGCUAGAGUCCGGAAGAGGAGAGUGGAAUUCCUGGUGUAGCGGUGAAAUGCGCAGAUAUCAGGAAGAACACCUAUGGCGAAGGCAGCUCUCUGGGGCGGUACUGACGCUGAGACGCGAAAGCGUGGGGAGCGAACAGG
This 253-nucleotide ribosomal RNA is filed under the name uncultured bacterium. Its description in RNAcentral is "partial 16S ribosomal RNA". It matches the Rfam family "Bacterial small subunit ribosomal RNA", at positions 524 to 776 of the family's 1533-position model. The record is from RNAcentral.